UUGUGCCUGGUUCCCUGUAUGCCACAGGCUGAGUCCAAUCUUGACCGUUGAUUGCCUCUUGCCGGUGGCAUCCAUGGAUCCAAGCACAC
RNAcentral lists this microRNA precursor (89 nucleotides) under Jatropha curcas. Its description in RNAcentral is "mir-160 microRNA precursor family". It matches the Rfam family "mir-160 microRNA precursor family". Rfam says of the family: The hairpin precursors (represented here) are predicted based on base pairing and cross-species conservation -- their extents are not known. In this case the mature sequence is excised from the 5' arm of the hairpin. Lineage: Eukaryota; Viridiplantae; Streptophyta; Magnoliopsida; Malpighiales; Euphorbiaceae. The record is from Rfam by way of RNAcentral.